GAUAUCUUUCUCCCCAUCCUUAAUUUCUAACUUAUGAUAUGACUCUUCAUAUAUCUUGAAUCUAGCAUCUUAUACCACCUGGUUGACGUCCUUCUUAACCAUCUUAUAUCAUUUAUAUAUUUUCUAUUCCUAUAUUCAAGUAAUCUUUUAAAACACUUUCUUUUAGCCUUAACAAUGGAUUGAACUUUCUCAUUCUACCACCAAGUUCUUUAUGAAAUGGGACUUUUACCUCUGAUUCACCUAAUACCAUUUAGAAAAAUCCCUCC
Molecule: long non-coding RNA, 266 nt
Filed under: Elaeis guineensis (African oil palm)
Lineage: Eukaryota; Viridiplantae; Streptophyta; Magnoliopsida; Arecales; Arecaceae
Description: long non-coding RNA (EGUI_LNC041677)
Source: RNAcentral